UUCCCGAUUUUAAAGGAGUUAAUGGUUUACUUUAGUUAUUGUUUCAUCAAUAUUAAUAAUGUGCUGUUGGUAGUGAAAUGUUAUUCGUCUUUAAUGGUUUCUGGUUUUCCAAGAAAUGAAUUCAAUUCAUGCUCUUUAUUUAAUUUUUACUUUCAUUUUAUUUGUUUUUAUUUGGGGUUAAGAUUGAGGGGGAUUAGCUCCUUGUUUUAUUUUUAUAAUUUUUGCUUAUUAUUUAGUUUUGUGGAUUUUAUAGUGAUUUUCAAUUUGAUUAUGUUAAAAUUUUAUUUAUCUUUUUGUUUAUUUAUUUUUAAUUUAAGUUAUUUAUUGGAAUAUUUUCUUUAACUGUUAUUUGUUUAGUAAUUAUUGUGUAAUUAGUAAAUUUUAUUUUAUGUUGUUUAUUUUAUGUUAAAUUCUUUUGAGGAAUUCGGCAAAGUUUCAUGUCCGCCUGUUUAACAAAAACAUCUCUUCUUGUUAGUUUUUGAAGUAUGGCCUGCCCACUGACGUAUAUUUGUUGAAGGGCCGCGGUAUUUUGACCGUGCAAAGGUAGCAUAAUCAUUAGUUCUUUAAUUGUGAUCUGGUAUGAAUGGCUUGACGAGACAUGUGCUGUCUUAGAUGUAUGAAUAUGUAAUUGAAUUUGGGUUUUGAGUUAAAAUUCUUAGAUGCUUUUAUGGGACGAGAAGACCCUAUAGAGUUUGACAUUUGACUCUCUUUAUUUUGAUUUGUUUGUUUAUUUUUAUUAAUUGAUUCAAGUGUUUUGUUGGGGUGAUGGGAGGAAUUUAUUUAACUCCUCUUUGUUUUAGUAUAUUUAUGUAUAUUUUUUUGAUC
RNAcentral lists this ribosomal RNA (825 nucleotides) under Anoplotermes sp. NL-2004. RNAcentral's name for it is "partial 16S ribosomal RNA". The stretch from base 408 to 619 matches the Rfam family "Bacterial large subunit ribosomal RNA", at positions 1697 to 2031 of the family's 2925-position model. The record is from RNAcentral. Lineage: Eukaryota; Metazoa; Arthropoda; Insecta; Blattodea; Termitidae.